GAGCGCGUAGCUCAGUUGGCUAGAGCAUCUGGUUUACACCCAGGAGGUCGCGGGUUCGAAUCCCUCCGCGCUCACCA
This 77-nucleotide transfer RNA is filed under the name bacterium. RNAcentral describes it as "tRNA-Val". It matches the Rfam family "tRNA". Rfam says of the family: Transfer RNA (tRNA) molecules are approximately 80 nucleotides in length. Their secondary structure includes four short double-helical elements and three loops (D, anti-codon, and T loops). The record is from RNAcentral. RNAcentral also lists the same sequence under 1 other name.